RNAcentral lists this long non-coding RNA (291 nucleotides) under Elaeis guineensis (African oil palm). RNAcentral's name for it is "long non-coding RNA (EGUI_LNC040596)". Lineage: Eukaryota; Viridiplantae; Streptophyta; Magnoliopsida; Arecales; Arecaceae. The record is from RNAcentral.
CCGACUUUGGGCAACAUCUUCCCAAACUACUCCAAUGGUCGAACUUCCACAGUGUUCCCAAGUUCUGCCGACGGAUAAACUCCCACAGCUCCUUCCACAAGUGUCGACCAGAUUCCCCUGACGGACGAACUUCCGCCGCAUCUCCCGGGCUUCUCCAAUGAUAAGCUUCUUCAGUCGUCUAUCAGGCUGCUCCAAGUGCUCUCUGGAUUCCACUAUCGGCCGACCUCCUACAAUGGUCAGCCGUUCCCCGAACCUCUUCCAGAUCUUUUCCAACAGGAUUCGAUCGACCUC